Populus trichocarpa (black cottonwood) is the source of this 2645-nucleotide long non-coding RNA. RefSeq lists it as uncharacterized. The record is from RefSeq and is a predicted model, not a curated record. The transcript has 4 exons. Lineage: Eukaryota; Viridiplantae; Streptophyta; Magnoliopsida; Malpighiales; Salicaceae.
UGUGUUCUCGGGUAUCAUAAUUUAUUUAAAAAAUUAAAAAUAUCUACUCUUAAUAAAAUAUAUGAACCAAGGAGGUGGGAGUCGUUAAUGCUAAUAAAAGAAAUAAACUAAUAAUCUCAGUUGAUUUGGUGGCUUCUUCUUGGCUUAUGUUAGCUGCUUGGGUGCUGUUUCAUGGGGUUGCUGGCCUUCUCUGGCUAGGGAGAUACGUUUCCAUGGGGAUUUGGGAUAGCUAAUAAUCUCAGUUGAUUUGACUGUGAUCUGUGUUGAGAUCAGUUACAAUUGCUUCCAGCUAGCUUAUUCGUGCAGUUCUGCUUCAUGCAACUUUGCAGAACUUCUACCUUGUAUUUAAAACUCAUCGCCUAUUCUGCUGUUUUGAUUUUCCUCCUCUUCUAAUUACAUGUUCAUUUUGCUGCUUCGAUCAUAUACAUGAUCACUCCUACACAAACGCACAGUUCAAAGUGCUCAUUCUUUCUCCCACUCCAUGCCCACAUUCAUUGAUCCCUUGCCCUACACUGCAUCACCUCCCAUGUUUGGUACUGUUUUCAGUCAUCAUAACUACUGUAUCCAUCGUCUGUUGCAGGUUAUUUCGUUGCUAAACAUGCACCUAAGCACCGAAGGGCUUUCUUUUAGCUGCUAAGAAAGUCGUAUUUGAUCUGUAUUUUCUUCCUUCAUAGCAAGCUUCACCUUCCUAAUGGAAUCCUUACUAGUCAUGGAGGCAUUUUCGGUUUUUUACAUGUAAAAAAAAUUGUUGACGCGUGCUUGGCACUAGUCAAUCGCUCCGCCAUCUUCGGGUGACGUGUGCGACUAACUAUUGUGGUUGAAAUCAGGCUCCCGCAACAUCCUAUUAUGCGUUUCGACGUCCCCUUCUUUCCUGGAUGGCACAUGUAUAGUUGUGAGGACUUACGAAGACAAUUCUUAAGAAUAGAAGGUUGACAUUGACACAAAUGGGGAAGUAAGAGAGCCAUAAUCAAGAGCAAGAGGAAAGCGUUCUUGGGCUUCCUAUACGAUGCCGAAUCAUUUUAUGGGUCAUUCAAGCUAUCAACGUAGAUUUGUGGGCUGAACAAGCUCUGUCCAUAAUCUUCCCAUUGCUGCCUAAAUCUCGACAAAAAACCAUGCGAGAAGCCAUACAUGUUGGAAGAUCCUCAUGAGCUUAUGGGACUGUGAUUGUGACUCAAUGAGUCGUCAUCUUUCCUAGAGCAUUUUCGAACUCGAGCCUUUCCUUGUUGAGAGCUAAAAUCUCAGACAGUCAAGACACAACAGCAAUGCCAUGGCGAAGCUCAUCUCGCCUGUGUUGAUGGGGAAAGGGAAUAGAGAGGGGAGGUGUAUGUAUCAAUUUUGAACUUAACAAAAUUUGAAGGAUGUAAUUUAAUUGGUCAAGUUAUAAUGUUGUUCUACAAAGAUCACUAGUUUGAGUAUUAUAAAUUUUAAAACUAUUAGAGAUUUAUAUGAUUAUUAACUUUAGAGGUAUUAGAAGAUUAAUCAAGAUGCGUAUAAAUUAGCUCGAACACUAACCUUAUAUAUAUAAAAAAAAAUAUUUAAACUCGACGGGGCAGAGGUCAAUUCAAUCAAUUUCUUGAUGCGUAGUAAGCUAGAAGAAAAGGGACACCCCUCCUUCCUUCCCCACGCAGUUGCGAAAGGGUCUCUGAGAGGGUUGGUGGAUUGCCAGCCCUACGUCUUAUUGCUGAUAGCGUCCUUCCUUGUCACCAUUCCAAUCCUCAGGAAAGUCCAAUCUACACUCAAUGCCCCACAACAUGCAUCACAAAACACAAACCCUUAAUUCCACCAUUACACAGUGGCCCAUGCAGUCCCACAAGAAAAAGGAGAGCUCAACCAAACCUUUUUCUUCUCUCCUUUCCCUUUCACUGCUUGAAAGAUCAUCCUCACAGCCAUAAAGGGAACGUAGAAUCUUGUGAAAUUAGGUUUUUAGAUGGAGGAUAUCUCGUGCCUCACGAGGCUAACUUUUUGCCUGCGAGCGCCAUUCUUGAAAUCUCAAGGUUAAUUGUACCAGGCCCUUAAGCUUGGAAAAUUAGUUUUGUGGUCGAGGAAUUUGCUCAUUUUUCUUGAUUUAAUCCAACACCAGAAAAACUUCCUAGAUUUCUUUGUAAAUAGUGUUCCGUUUCACUCAAAUCACUCGGAAAAGAACUUGAUUUUGAUAAUAUCAAACACUUGGCCCCCUCGACCUCAAGAAAAAAUAAUCCAGCAUCAGUAGCCUGGUCAAAUCAAAAGCAAGGGUGGGACUGGGCGGCUGGCUGGGGCUUUUUCCAGACCAAGAACAUAACAAGGCAGGCCAUUUUCGCAUUAAUGCAAACCCUAGAAAAAGUGGAUUUCACUUUUCAAUACCUUGCCGCCAUCAAUCUCCCAGCAAGUGACAGUUCCUGCACCUCCGGCUCCAAGUUAGUCAUCUACACUGUUUAUUUUUAUAUUUUAAAAAUAUUUUUGAAAUAAUUUAAAAAUUUUUUAUUUUUAUUUUAAAUUAAUAUAUUUAUAAUGUUUUUAGAUUUAAUAUCAAAAAUAAUUUUUUAAAAAUAAAAAAAAUAUUAUUUUAAUAUAUUUAUAAAUAAAAAAUAUUUUAAAAAACAACCACAACCACGCUCUAAUAUUUAUCUAUCUGAGCAUGAGCAUAAAACCUAUCUGAGCAUGAGCAU